Molecule: ribosomal RNA, 460 nt
Filed under: uncultured bacterium
Lineage: Bacteria
Description: bacterial SSU rRNA
Rfam family: Bacterial small subunit ribosomal RNA
Source: RNAcentral
CCCCCAGUCGAGCGGCGAACGGGUGAGUAACGCGUGGAUGACCUGCCCUUUAGUGGGGAAUAACCCGGGGAAACUCGGGCUAAUACCGCAUAAGACCGAGAGGUGAAAAGGGGCCGCAAGGCUCUUGCUGAAGGAGGGGUCCGCGUUCGAUUAGCUAGUUGGUAGGGUAAUGGCCUACCAAGGCGACGAUCGAUAGCCGGCCUGAGAGGGUGAUCGGCCACACUGGAACUGAGACACGGUCCAGACUCCUACGGGAGGCAGCAGUGGGGAAUUUUGCGCAAUGGGCGAAAGCCUGACGCAGCAACGCCGCGUGGAGGAUGAAGGUCUUUGGAUUGUAAACUCCUGUCAGCGGGGAAAAAGGGACCCGACCUCAUACGUCGGGAACUUGAUUGUACCCGCAGAGGAAGCCCCGGCUAACUCUGUGCCAGCAGCCGCGGUAAUACAGAGGGGGCAAGCGUUA